Long non-coding RNA from Dermochelys coriacea (leatherback sea turtle), 2258 nucleotides. RefSeq lists it as uncharacterized. The transcript is spliced from 3 exons. The record is from RefSeq and is a predicted model, not a curated record. NCBI's taxonomy places the organism in Eukaryota, Metazoa, Chordata, Testudines, Dermochelyidae.
UUAUCAUAAUUCAGCCAAAUUAUAGCUAAUGAGCUGCAAAUCAUAUAUAAAGGUGACAGCCAGCAGGCUAAACCCUUUUAGGGGCCAGGGACCUGAAGGAGAGCGGAAUGCUGCAGGACACCUGGAAGAAAGAAGACACUCACAGACCUGCAGCAACCACACCAGCAGAACCCUGCUGGUUUUUCUAGGAAGAGGAUUGAAAAAGGAGAAGAGAAGGUUGAAAACAGAGAGGUUUGGAACAGAAGAGAACAGAGACAGAAUGAUGGAGAAGAGAGGAACUGGGAGUGUGUUUGCAGUGAUGAAUGUUUAUAACAACAUGACCCAAGGAAUUUCAUCCUCCCCUGGAACAUUGUGUAGGAGAUCUUAAUGGACAAAGAAAAACGUCUGCUGGGUUGUAGCCAAAAGCUUGCACUUGCUUUUUAAAAAAAAAAAAAUCAUGUUUAACCUUCUGGUAUUGUGUACAACACAGGUUUUUUAACAAAAUAUUCACUUCUCAGUUUACAACCUAAAAUGGAAUCAAUGAAAGAGGAAUGAGCUCUUCGCUUGCUUUUAUGGCAAAUCUCUUAAUCAUGACAAGUUUAAUUCUGCCUCUUGACCAGAUGCCUUACAAGGCUGUACUGCUCAGUUUGUGCUUGUACAAAUACCCAUAAGUGGUAAAAUUAAAUUAGGGGAAGAUUGAAAGAAAAAAAACUGAUGAUUUUUAUUUGCAGGUGCCAUGUUCCUGAAACGUCAAACAAUGGUGAAAAUUUGAAACCCAGUUUUCACCCAGGAAAAACUUCCAUUGACUUGAAUAAAAGCUUCUCCUGAGUAUGAAGUGAUGCCCCAAUUCAGCAAAGCACUUAUGUCAAUGGGGGUUAAACAUUCGCUUAAGGGGUUUGUUGAAUCAGGGCCUGAAUAAGGACUUCAGGAUUUGGCUGAAUCUGAUUUUAUAUGAUGCAGGGGUUUGGGCAAAACUAAACUUUACUGUAAGAUAACUGCCAUUUGUCCUGUUUUGGCAUGCUAAUUCAUUCCAGUGUCUUUAUUGUGAAGAAAAUAAAUACAUUCAAAGCUGGAUUGAGGCAUAGAUAAUAUAUAGGAAUAGGGCCUAAACUCCUUGUGUCCUGAUUAAUUCAGAAUCUCUGCUUUCAUUUAAAAAAAAUGCAAGCAUCUAGCACUCAUGACUGUGAAGAAAAGUUUGAAACGUGAUCUGAGCAUAACUGAUGCAGCUAUGUGUGUCCAGUGUGCAGUCCGCCUGAAAUAACAGCUUUAAAUGUGGUGAACUGCCCCAUGUAUCUCAAUGGAUUGUUACCCUGAGUGGGUCUUGGAGUUGUGGGGUCAGGGGAGGUCUAUCAACACCAGCCCAGCAUAGCACUGUGUGUGCAGGAAGACUAAAAAUGCAGCAGCCCUGGUCCCCCAACUAAGUGGACACCCCUUGCUGCUGGAGUAAGUAGUGCACUCCCCACUUCUGCCUGUCUCCAAGGGUGAGAGAGGACCCAAGAGCAGGGUACGCUUCCUGCAGCUCCUGGAAUGAAGAAGGAUGCCCCUUGCUGCUGCCCUUGCCCGUGCGCCUGUGAGAGAGGAUCUCAAUUAGAGCUGUGCCAGAACUGGAAUUUUUCUCUUGCAGAAAAUUUCACAUUUAAAAAAAUACAUCUAUUCCAAAUUGGAACAAAAGGUCAGCUAUGUAAAAACCAUUUCAGCUCUCCUGUGAAAGGAAAUUUCAAAAAUUUCUGGUCCCAUCAUCUUGGGCUCCCAUUUCUAGCACACUGCCUGGCUAACUUCUGAGGAGCUUGGGAGCCCUGAAGGCUCCUGAGGUGGGCUGUGGAAGUGGCAGGAAACCAGGCAGGUUUCUAUCCAAAGUUUUGUUGAAAUCAACACAUUCCCACAGUUUUGGAUGAAUCUGCAUUUUCUGAUUGGAAGUUUUCCAAUGGAAUGUUUUUCCAACCAGCUCAAGCCUUCAUCACUACCAUACCUAAUGUGGGAAAGGAAGAGCCAUAGUGUAAGGCAGGAUCAUGGCGGGGGGGGGGGGGGGCUAUAAGGGGCCUUGCUGUAUAGUGUGCCUCGCAUCCUGGCUUGCCUUAAAAGUAUAUUCAGGGCUGGACUAACAAUGUAAGGUUGCCCAUCCAAAAUUAGAUAUGCUCACUCAAUGCCAUGUAGCUAUUGAAAUACUACAGGCAGCUUGAUCGUUGUUUUUAACAAACAAAGGGUGCCUGUUAGUAACAUUAUACUUCAUUUAUUAAACCCCCCCCCCCCUUUUCUUUUCAUUAGACUUUGUCUUUUUU